Molecule: ribosomal RNA, 254 nt
Filed under: uncultured bacterium
Lineage: Bacteria
Description: partial 16S ribosomal RNA
Rfam family: Bacterial small subunit ribosomal RNA
Source: RNAcentral
GUCCACGCUGUAAACGAUGAUAACUCGCUGUUGGUGCAUAGCAUCAGUGGCUAAGGGAAACCGAUAAGUUAUCCACCUGGGGAGUACGCCGGCAACGGUGAAACUCAAAGGAAUUGACGGGGUCGCACAAGCGGUGGAGCAUGUGGUUUAAUUCGAUGAUACGCGAGGAACCUUACCUAGGCUAGAAUGUGAGUGAAUAAUUCAGAGAUGAAUUAGUCCGCAAGGACACAAACAAGGUGCUGCAUGGCUGUCGU